GACGAACGCUGGCGGCGUGCCUAAUACAUGCAAGUCGAGCGCAGGAAAUCGACGGAACCCUUCGGGGGGAAGUCGACGGAAUGAGCGGCGGACGGGUGAGUAACACGUAAAGAACCUGCCCUCAGGUCUGGGAUAACCACGAGAAAUCGGGGCUAAUACCGGAUGGGUCAUCGGACCGCAUGGUCCGAGGAUGAAAGGCGCUUCGGCGUCGCCUGGGGAUGGCUUUGCGCUGCAUUAGCUAGUUGGGGGGGUAAUGGCCCACCAAGGCGACGAUGCAUAGCCGGCCUGCGAGGGUGAUCGGCCACACUGGGACUGAGACACGGCCCAGACUCCUACGGGAGGCAGCAGUAGGGAAUCUUCCACAAUGGACGAAAGUCUGAUGGAGCAACGCCGCGUGAACGAUGAAGGCCUUCGGGUCGUAAAGUUCUGUUGUAAGGGAAGAACAAGUGCCGCAGGCAAUGGCGGCACCUUGACGGUACCUUGCGAGAAAGCCACGGCUAACUACGUGCCAGCCGCCGCAGUAA
RNAcentral lists this ribosomal RNA (524 nucleotides) under uncultured bacterium. Its description in RNAcentral is "partial 16S ribosomal RNA". It matches the Rfam family "Bacterial small subunit ribosomal RNA", at positions 28 to 523 of the family's 1533-position model. The record is from RNAcentral.